UGCGUAGGCGGUCCCGCAAGUCCGUUGUGAAAGCCCCGGGCUUAACCUGGGAAUGGCAGUGGAAACUAGGGGACUUGAAUCUGGCAGAGGGGGGUGGAAUGCCACGUGUAGCAGUGAAAUGCGUAGAGAUGUGGCGGAACACCGAUGGCGAAGGCAGCCCCCUGGGCUGAGAUUGACGCUCAGGCACGAAAGCGUGGGGAGCAAACAGGAUUAGAUACCCUGGUAGUCCACGCCCUAAACGAUGAUCACUAGGUGUUGGGGAAGCGAUUUCUCAGUACCGCAGCUAACGCGUGAAGUGAUCCGCCUGGGGAGUACGGUCGCAAGAUUAAAA
RNAcentral lists this ribosomal RNA (331 nucleotides) under uncultured bacterium. RNAcentral's name for it is "bacterial SSU rRNA". It matches the Rfam family "Bacterial small subunit ribosomal RNA", at positions 568 to 899 of the family's 1533-position model. The record is from RNAcentral.